Long non-coding RNA from Mus caroli (Ryukyu mouse), 575 nucleotides. RefSeq lists it as uncharacterized. The record is from RefSeq and is a predicted model, not a curated record. NCBI's taxonomy places the organism in Eukaryota, Metazoa, Chordata, Mammalia, Rodentia, Muridae.
UAAGAAAAGUUGCUCUCUGGAAUGAAUAACAGAUUUGAAAAAGGAGAGGAGAAAUAAGAGGGGGGAACACUACUCUCAAACUCCAGCAUUCAGUAAACAUUCUCCAAAAAGCAGAGCUGAGAUCACUGUUGCUAAGGAAGAGAAGAGGACAUCUCAGAGUGGACACACCCAACACACUUAAAACAGAAACGUUCAGCUGGGCCAGAAGGAGUGGCUUCUUAGUGAUGAAAUUUCAGAAUAUCGAAGAAAAACAUUUAUACUUCUAUUACAAAGGAAAAGAAGCAUCUACACAGAAUUGAGGUCCAUCAGAUAUUGCCUACCAACAUAUUGAAGCCCAGUACCCUGAAUGACUAGGAGAAACAAUAUAGCCAGCGCCGGGCAAAACUUCUGCUGAUUUUUCUCAUGAAGAGAGUACAGAUGAAUCUGGUGGGAAGAGCAGACUGAAUACCUUUGGCACUGAACCUGGCCUGACACCCCCUGGGUUCUCUUGGAAUGCUUAUCAAAAAUGGAUAACCAGAUCUGCCAGGAAGAAGAGACUCCCUGAUCAUAUCACCCAUUCCGAGAUUUCAGUAAAU